CAUGACGAACGCUGGCGGCGCGCCUAACACAUGCAAGUCGAACGGAGCUGUUUUCUCUGAAGUUUUCGGAUGGAAGAGAGUUCAGCUUAGUGGCGAACGGGUGAGUAACACGUGAGCAACCUGCCUUUCAGUGGGGGACAACAUUUGGAAACGAAUGCUAAUACCGCAUAAGACCACAGUGUCGCAUGGCACAGGGGUCAAAGGAUUUAUCCGCUGAAAGAUGGGCUCGCGUCCGAUUAGCUAGAUGGUGAGGUAACGGCCCACCAUGGCGACGAUCGGUAGCCGGACUGAGAGGUUGAACGGCCACAUUGGGACUGAGACACGGCCCAGACUCCUACGGGAGGCAGCAGUGGGGAAUAUUGCACAAUGGGGGAAACCCUGAUGCAGCGACGCCGCGUGGAGGAAGAAGGUCUUCGGAUUGUAAACUCCUGUCCCAGGGGACGAUAAUGACGGUACCCUGGGAGGAAGCACCGGCUAACUACGUGCCAGCAGCCGCGGUAAAACGUAGGGUGCAAGCGUUGUCCGGAAUUACUGGGUGUAAAGGGAGCGCAGGCGGAUUGGCAAGUUGGGAGUGAAAUCUAUGGGCUCAACCCAUAAAUUGCUUUCAAAACUGUCAGUCUUGAGUGGUGUAGAGGUAGGCGGAAUUCCCGGUGUAGCGGUGGAAUGCGUAGAUAUCGGGAGGAACACCAGUGGCGAAGGCGGCCUACUGGGCACUAACUGACGCUGAGGCUCGAAAGCAUGGGUAGCAAACAGGAUUAGAUACCCUGGUAGUCCAUGCCGUAAACGAUGAUUACUAGGUGUGGGAGGAUUGACCCCUUCCGUGCCGCAGUUAACACAAUAAGUAAUCCACCUGGGGAGUACGACCGCAAGGUUGAAACUCAAAGGAAUUGACGGGGGCCCGCACAAGCAGUGGAGUAUGUGGUUUAAUUCGAAGCAACGCGAAGAACCUUACCAGGUCUUGACAUCGGAUGCAUACCUAAGAGAUUAGGGAAGUCCUUCGGGACAUCCAGACAGGUGGUGCAUGGUUGUCGUCAGCUCGUGUCGUGAGAUGUUGGGUUAAGUCCCGCAACGAGCGCAACCCUUAUCGUUAGUUACUACGCAAGAGGACUCUAGCGAGACUGCCGUUGACAAAACGGAGGAAGGUGGGGAUGACGUCAAAUCAUCAUGCCCUUUAUGACCUGGGCUACACACGUACUACAAUGGCUAUUAACAGAGAGAGGCGAUACCGCGAGGUGGAGCAAACCUCACAAAAAUAGUCUCAGUUCGGAUCGCAGGCUGCAACCCGCCUGCGUGAAGCCGGAAUUGCUAGUAAUCGCGGAUCAGCAUGCCGCGGUGAAUACGUUCCCGGGCCUUGUACACACCGCCCGUCACACCAUGAGAGCCGGGGGGACCCGAAGUCAAUAGUCUAACCGUAAGGAGGACGCCGCCGAAGG
RNAcentral lists this ribosomal RNA (1433 nucleotides) under uncultured organism. RNAcentral describes it as "SSU rRNA". It matches the Rfam family "Bacterial small subunit ribosomal RNA". The record is from RNAcentral.